This 253-nucleotide ribosomal RNA is filed under the name uncultured bacterium. Its description in RNAcentral is "partial 16S ribosomal RNA". It matches the Rfam family "Bacterial small subunit ribosomal RNA", at positions 524 to 776 of the family's 1533-position model. The record is from RNAcentral.
UACGGGGGGGGCAAGCGUUGUUCGGAAUUACUGGGCGUAAAGGGCUUGUAGGCGGCCAACUAAGUCCGACGUGAAAUCCCUAGGCUUAACCUAGGAACUGCGUCGGAUACUGGAUGGCUUGAAUCCGGGAGAGGGAUGCGGAAUUCCAGGUGUAGCGGUGAAAUGCGUAGAUAUCUGGAGGAACACCGGUGGCGAAGGCGGCAUCCUGGACCGGUACUGACGCUGAGGAGCGAAAGCGUGGGGAGCAAACAGG